AUGUCGUCGUCGUCGAUUGGUUCCGCCUGUUCAUGCGGCGGAGCGAUUCGACGGAGAGGCGCUGCAGCGAGGUCGCCGGUGCCGUAUCGUGAGCAGCCGAUGGAGUACGAGCCAGCUGUUUUCUGCGGCCGCUGCGGGAGGAAGGCGCCACGGUGGAUAUCAUGGAGUGUGGCGAACCCUGGACGAUGAUAUUAUUCAUGCGUCGAAGCUCAGGUAUGCUCUGUUCUUGUCUGUGCUCUGUCCUCCUAUGCUCUGCUCAAUUUCUCUGUCUUAUGA
RNAcentral lists this ribosomal RNA (276 nucleotides) under Triticum aestivum (bread wheat). RNAcentral describes it as "partial small subunit ribosomal RNA". The record is from RNAcentral. Lineage: Eukaryota; Viridiplantae; Streptophyta; Magnoliopsida; Poales; Poaceae.